RNAcentral lists this ribosomal RNA (2927 nucleotides) under Kosakonia sacchari SP1. RNAcentral describes it as "bacterial LSU rRNA". It matches the Rfam family "Bacterial large subunit ribosomal RNA". The record is from RNAcentral. Lineage: Bacteria; Pseudomonadati; Pseudomonadota; Gammaproteobacteria; Enterobacterales; Enterobacteriaceae.
GGGUUGUGAGGUUAAGCGACUAAGCGUACACGGUGGAUGCCCUGGCAGUCAGAGGCGAUGAAGGACGUGCUAAUCUGCGAAAAGCGCCGGUAAGGUGAUAUGAACCGUUAUAGCCGGCGAUGUCCGAAUGGGGAAACCCAGUGUGACUCGUCACACUAUCAUUAACUGAAUCCAUAGGUUAAUGAGGCGAACCGGGGGAACUGAAACAUCUAAGUACCCCGAGGAAAAGAAAUCAACCGAGAUUCCCCCAGUAGCGGCGAGCGAACGGGGAGGAGCCCAGAGUCUGAAUCAGCUUGUGUGUUAGUGGAAGCGUCUGGAAAGUCGCGCGAUACAGGGUGACAGCCCCGUACACAAAAGCACACAGGCUGUGAGCUCGAUGAGUAGGGCGGGACACGUGGUAUCCUGUCUGAAUAUGGGGGGACCAUCCUCCAAGGCUAAAUACUCCUGACUGACCGAUAGUGAACCAGUACCGUGAGGGAAAGGCGAAAAGAACCCCGGCGAGGGGAGUGAAAAAGAACCUGAAACCGUGUACGUACAAGCAGUGGGAGCCUCUUGAUGGGGUGACUGCGUACCUUUUGUAUAAUGGGUCAGCGACUUAUAUUCUGUAGCAAGGUUAACCGAAUAGGGGAGCCGAAGGGAAACCGAGUCUUAACUGGGCGUUAAGUUGCAGGGUAUAGACCCGAAACCCGGUGAUCUAGCCAUGGGCAGGUUGAAGGUUGGGUAACACUAACUGGAGGACCGAACCGACUAAUGUUGAAAAAUUAGCGGAUGACCUGUGGCUGGGGGUGAAAGGCCAAUCAAACCGGGAGAUAGCUGGUUCUCCCCGAAAGCUAUUUAGGUAGCGCCUCGUGAAUUCAUCUCCGGGGGUAGAGCACUGUUUCGGCUAGGGGGCCAUCCCGGCUUACCAACCCGAUGCAAACUACGAAUACCGGAGAAUGUUAUCACGGGAGACACACGGCGGGUGCUAACGUCCGUCGUGAAGAGGGAAACAACCCAGACCGCCAGCUAAGGUCCCAAAGUCAUGGUUAAGUGGGAAACGAUGUGGGAAGGCCCAGACAGCCAGGAUGUUGGCUUAGAAGCAGCCAUCAUUUAAAGAAAGCGUAAUAGCUCACUGGUCGAGUCGGCCUGCGCGGAAGAUGUAACGGGGCUAAACCAUGCACCGAAGCUGCGGCAGCGACACUAUUGUGUUGUUGGGUAGGGGAGCGUUCUGUAAGCCUGCGAAGGUGGCCUGUGAGGGUUGCUGGAGGUAUCAGAAGUGCGAAUGCUGACAUAAGUAACGAUAAAGCGGGUGAAAAGCCCGCUCGCCGGAAGACCAAGGGUUCCUGUCCAACGUUAAUCGGGGCAGGGUGAGUCGACCCCUAAGGCGAGGCCGAAAGGCGUAGUCGAUGGGAAACAGGUUAAUAUUCCUGUACUUGGUGUUACUGCGAAGGGGGGACGGAGAAGGCUAUGUUAGCCGGGCGACGGUUGUCCCGGUUUAAGCGUGAAGGUGUGUGCUCCAGGCAAAUCCGGAGUGCUUUAACACUGAGGCGUGAUGACGAGGCACCACGGUGCUGAAGUAACAAAUGCCCUGCUUCCAGGAAAAGCCUCUAAGCUCCAGGUAACACGAAAUCGUACCCAAACCGACACAGGUGGUCAGGUAGAGAAUACCAAGGCGCUUGAGAGAACUCGGGUGAAGGAACUAGGCAAAAUGGUGCCGUAACUUCGGGAGAAGGCACGCUGAUAUGUAGGUGAAGCGACUUGCUCGUGGAGCUGAAAUCAGUCGAAGAUACCAGCUGGCUGCAACUGUUUAUUAAAAACACAGCACUGUGCAAACACGAAAGUGGACGUAUACGGUGUGACGCCUGCCCGGUGCCGGAAGGUUAAUUGAUGGGGUCAUCCGUAAGGAGAAGCUCUUGAUCGAAGCCCCGGUAAACGGCGGCCGUAACUAUAACGGUCCUAAGGUAGCGAAAUUCCUUGUCGGGUAAGUUCCGACCUGCACGAAUGGCGUAAUGAUGGCCAGGCUGUCUCCACCCGAGACUCAGUGAAAUUGAACUCGCUGUGAAGAUGCAGUGUACCCGCGGCAAGACGGAAAGACCCCGUGAACCUUUACUAUAGCUUGACACUGAACACUGGUCCUUGAUGUGUAGGAUAGGUGGGAGGCUUUGAAGCGUGGACGCCAGUCUGCGUGGAGCCAUCCUUGAAAUACCACCCUUUAAUGGCUGGUGUUCUAACGUGGACCCGUAAUCCGGGUUGCGGACAGUGUCUGGUGGGUAGUUUGACUGGGGCGGUCUCCUCCUAAAGCGUAACGGAGGAGCACGAAGGUCAGCUAAUCCUGGUCGGACAUCAGGAGGUUAGUGCAAUGGCAUAAGCUGGCUUGACUGCGAGCGUGACGGCGCGAGCAGGUGCGAAAGCAGGUCAUAGUGAUCCGGUGGUUCUGAAUGGAAGGGCCAUCGCUCAACGGAUAAAAGGUACUCCGGGGAUAACAGGCUGAUACCGCCCAAGAGUUCAUAUCGACGGCGGUGUUUGGCACCUCGAUGUCGGCUCAUCACAUCCUGGGGCUGAAGUAGGUCCCAAGGGUAUGGCUGUUCGCCAUUUAAAGUGGUACGCGAGCUGGGUUUAGAACGUCGUGAGACAGUUCGGUCCCUAUCUGCCGUGGGCGCUGGAGAAUUGAGGGGGGCUGCUCCUAGUACGAGAGGACCGGAGUGGACGCAUCACUGGUGUUCGGGUUGUCAUGCCAAUGGCACUGCCCGGUAGCUAAAUGCGGAAGAGAUAAGUGCUGAAAGCAUCUAAGCACGAAACUUGCCCCGAGAUGAGUUCUCCCUGAGACUUUAAGUCUCCUGAAGGAACGUUGAAGACGACGACGUUGAUAGGCCGGGUGUGUAAGCGCAGCGAUGCGUUGAGCUAACCGGUACUAAUGAACCGUGAGGCUUAACCUUACAACGCCGAAG